Molecule: ribosomal RNA, 206 nt
Filed under: uncultured bacterium
Lineage: Bacteria
Description: partial 16S ribosomal RNA
Rfam family: Bacterial small subunit ribosomal RNA
Source: RNAcentral
CGGAUUGCAGGCUGCAACCCGCCUGCAUGAAGUUGGAAUCGCUAGUAAUCGCGGAUCAGCAUGCCGCGGUGAAUACGUUCCCGGGCCUUGUACACACCGCCCGUCACACCAUGAGAGUCGGGAACACCCGAAGUCCGUAGCCUAACCGCAAGGGGGCGCGGCCGAAGGUGGGUUCGAUAAUUGGGGUGAAGUCGUAACAAGGUAAC